RNAcentral lists this transfer RNA (76 nucleotides) under Alphaproteobacteria bacterium. RNAcentral describes it as "tRNA-Lys". It matches the Rfam family "tRNA". From Rfam's summary of the family: Transfer RNA (tRNA) molecules are approximately 80 nucleotides in length. RNAcentral also lists the same sequence under 2 other names. Lineage: Bacteria; Pseudomonadati; Pseudomonadota; Alphaproteobacteria. The record is from RNAcentral.
GGGCCGUUAGCUCAGUUGGCAGAGCGGGUGACUCUUAAUCACUAGGUCGAAGGUUCGAGCCCUUCACGGCCCACCA